CUUUUGUUUUAUUAUUUUAUAGUCACAGAUGAUCAGACACAUCAUUUUAGAAAAGAAAUUGAUAUUUUGCUUGUCAAAAAAAAUUAUAAUACAAUUUUCUCCAAUAUAGAUUAUGUACAGAAUGAGAUUGUAAUAGAAGCAUCAUCAUGUCUCUGUAAUAAAGAUGAUGAGGGACUGAGGGGGGCCAAAAGGCCACAGCACAGAACCCAUCUUCUCUACCAAUAAAUAUAAACUGUAUAUAUGGUGUAUGUAUGUAUGUGUGUGUGUGUGUGUGUGUGUGUGUGUGUGUGUGUAUACAGUACACUACCGGUCAAAGGUUUUAGAACACCUACUCAUUCAAGGGUUUUUCUUUAUUUUUACUAUUUUCUACAUUGUAGAAUAAUAAAAAAAAGGGUGGCUAUUUGAAGAAUCUCAAAUAUAAAAUAUAUUUAGAUUUGUUUAACACUUUUUUGGUUACUACAUGAUUCCAUAUGUGUUAUUUCAUAGUUUUGAUGUCUUCACUAGUAUUCUACAAUGUAGAAAAUAGUAAAAAUAAAGAAAAACCCUUGAAUGAGUAGGUGUGUCCAAACUUUUGACAUUUGGCCUCACCAGGCAUGAAGGAGACCAGGACAAGUGAUAUUACAGGGCAAUGGAUUUCCAUCAUCAGUUCUGUACAUCACCUUGUACAUCAUCAUGUGUGCUUCACACACACACACACACACACACACACACACACACACACACACACACACACACACACACACACACACACACACACACACACACACACACACACACACACACACAGAUCAACACACAAGCAAGCGCACGCUGGGGCCAGAUACGAAAUUACAGUCGGGUUACAACAAUAGGCCAUCUCAAGUCAAAAAGAAAGAAAGGACGAAUGAAAGGAAGAGAAAACCGUGUGAAGAUACCCAUCUUUGUUCCUCUUUGAUCAGAGCAGAAGCAUGGUUAUCUGAUCAGAACAGAAGCAUGGUUAUCUGAUCAGAGCAGAAGCAUGGUUAUCUGAUCAUAGCGUGUUGGUGCCAGCAGAGUAGCACUUGACAUUUGGCAUGAUUCAAAUGGCCAGUUCCACAGGAAGCAACUCGGCUGGAAAAUAUUACUGUCUCACAGUCUGCCUCUCUCUCUCUCUCUCUCUUACUCCUCUCUCUCUCUCCUUCCCUAUACCUCCCUUCUAGCCUCCCCAUCUCUCUACCUUUCUCUGCCUCGUUGUCUCCUUGUCCCUCUACCUCCCUUCUAGCCUCUACCCGUAAAAAUAUCUCUCCUUCUCUGCCUCUCAAUCUUUCUCUCUCGAUCUCGAGCAGGGCAGGUGCUAUGAAAAGACUCAAGGACUCUCUCUCUCCCCUUUAGAAUAAAAAUGCUGCGAACAAAAAGCACCCUAUCAAGACAAAGGACCUCACUGACGAUCACAGAACAGAACGACCACAAAAAAACAGACAACAGCAAAGUAAAGCCAGACCAAGGCAACAGAUAGAAAUCUGAAGAGAGGAGUGGGGAAGGACUAGAUUGAUCCCAGAUCUGUUUGUUUAUAGCCAGCCACUCCUAUGCUCUUUGUACAUUUAACACAAUGUGAUCUGGGACCAGACUAGAGGAGGACCUUGUUGUUCAAGCACUGUUUCUUUCCCCUCUCAAUGGACGCACAUAACCUCAAACUCAAAAAAAACUCCCUUGUGCUUUCUGAACGGAGAGAAUUAUGACCUGGUGCCAUGAAGAUGAGAUGAGAAAACACCACCACUUGGAUUAAAUAAAAAUGAUAAAUAAUUGAUCUCUUUAGCCGGUUAAUUAUUGUUGUUUCCCCUCCAUCUAACCUCUGGAUGAGAGGAUGUGAUAGAAGAAGAGAGACGGAGGGAGCGAGAGAGAGAGAGACAAAGAGACAGAAAGACAGAGAGCACACAUGAGAGAGAAAGAGACAGAGAGAGAGAGGGAGAGGAGGAUGGGAGGAAAGGGCCUGUGAAGGGAAGAUAGCAACAAAUAAUUGUUAUCUUGCUGACUGUGUUAAUCAGUGUGCCAAUUCACUAGUGUAAAACAUGUCAGGCUUUAAACUCCAGUGUGAGAGGUGGAAUGGAGGAUGGGACAAAGGGGGCUGCACUGAGGUCAAAGGACUGAGGACAUCAAGUCCAUCAACAGUAACCUAGGGCAAACCUAGGGCACUACUUUUGGCCAGAGGCUUAGGUUUUAGUGCAGUAGGAGAUAGGGUACCACUUCAGAUUUAACUAAUGGUUACUGAAUACUGAUGACUGAGUUGAUGUCGUUAGAGGCUCUGUUCAAAAUGUGUGCUGUGUAGAGGGAAUAGGGUCCAAAAUUAAGAGGGCGCCAUUUAGAACAUACUCUAGACUGAGUAAGCUGUUGUGUUGUGUGGUUGGUCAGCUGGAGGAAGCAGCCAGGCUGGGGUUGAAUGAGAACCCUCUUCAGGAAGCAGAGCAGGCAGGGAGGCAGGGAGGAUGGGAGGCAGGGAGGAUGGGAGGCAGAGAGGCAGGGAGGCAGGGAGGAUGGGACCUGAUCACUCCUUAUUUCAUUAUGGGGAAAUGAAAUCCACAUAAAUCCACCAAAUGGAGAGGAAGAGGCACAGAGGGAAUAUUCGCAUUUCUUCUUUCCUCCCCCCAUCCCUCCAUCUCUCCCUCCUCCGCUAUUUAGUUCACAGUGACUUUAAUCAUCACUUUGGCCAAAACACAUUAAGCCUUGACACAGUGUGUCCGGAGGUGAAUGGAGUGUGUGUGUGUGUGUGUGUGUGUGUGUGUGUGUGUGUGUGUGUGUGUGUGUGUGUGUGUGUGUGUGUGUGUGUGUGUGUGUGUGUGUGUAUGUGUGUGUGUGUGUGUGUGUCCGGAUGUAGGGGAAUGGAGUGUGUGUGUUUGUGUGUGUGUGUGUGUGUGUGUGUGUGUGUGUGUGUGUGUGUGUGUGUGUGUGUGUGUGUGUGUGUGUGUGUGUGUGUGUGUGUGUGUGUGUGUGUGUGUGUGUGUGUCCAGAUGUAGGGGAAUGGAGUGUGUGUGUGUGUGUGUCGGAUGUAGGGAAUGGAGUGUGUGUGUGUGUGUGUGUGUGUGUGUGUGUGUGUGUGUGUGUGUGUGUGUGUGUGUGUGUGUGUGUGUGUGUGUGUGUCCGGAUGUAGGGGAAUGGAGUGUGUGUGUGUGUGUGUGUGUGGGAAUGGAGUGUGUGUGUGUGUCCGGAUGGAGGUGAAUGGGAGGGGGGAGCAACACAUUAAAUUUGCAAUAGUGAUGCAUCACCAUCGCAUUACUCCACAGAUUAAAGAGGAGAUCAUGCAUUUAACUAGUUGGUGAUGAAGGCCGUCUGAUGGAUGGCAGUCCUCCUGGACCACACUGGGGCACACAACAACCAACCACCCUAAUCCUCAAUCUAUCCUCUAUUUAUCCUCUAUUUAUCCUCUUUUCCUCCAUCCAUCUAUGGUGGGUGACACCACCAGGGAGAAGGAGAACUCCUGACCUCAAUCC
RNAcentral lists this long non-coding RNA (3443 nucleotides) under Salmo salar (Atlantic salmon). Its description in RNAcentral is "lncRNA (ENSSSAG00000094145.1)". The record is from RNAcentral. Lineage: Eukaryota; Metazoa; Chordata; Actinopteri; Salmoniformes; Salmonidae.